UCGCCGCCGUAUGAACCAGAGGAGAGAGAGUGGGGCGAGGGCGCUGUGAGGGAAGGAGCAGGAGGCUCCUGGACAGCGGUCGCCAGGCUCUUCAGGAGUUCAGGGGGUCUUCAAGAGAGAGAGAGCUUUUGUGAGGGGAACUUCAUGUGAGAGAGAAUUGGGUGUACAAGGGUUGAGGGUGAGGUCUCCUCUUGUAAAUUUUUCUUUUCAUAGUGAAGUUUGCAUGCCCCAUGGAGGCGAGCCCUUUUGUGGCUGAUCCACGUAUUUUGAUUGUUUUUCCUUUGUUUUGUUCUUNNNNNNNNNNNNNNNNNNNNCGUUUCUCACGGUCCACGGCACUAUUCCGUGGACCGGAGCGCGAUCCGACGGCCCAGGAGGCUCCCGGUCUUGAUCCGACGGUCUGGAGGGUUUUUUGGCUUUGUUUAGGACUCCUAAUCCGUCUCUAAUCGUGUUUUAACCUAUGUUUAAGCCUUUAAAAGGCCCUGAGAACGAACAGAAGAGGGUGGGGUUCGGUUUCUCGUCGUCGUACGAACCAGAGGAGAGAGAGUGGGGCGAGGGCACUGUGAGGGAAGGAGCAGGAGGCUCCUGGACAGCGGUCGCCAGGCUCUUCAGAGGUUCAGGGGGUCUCCAAGAGAGAGAGAGCUUUUGUGAGGGGAACUUCAUGUGAGAGAGAAUUGGGUGUACAAUGGUUGAGGGUGAGGUCUCCUCUUGUAAAAUUUUCUUUUCAUAGUGAAGUUUGCAUGCCCCGUG
This 747-nucleotide long non-coding RNA is filed under the name Elaeis guineensis (African oil palm). RNAcentral describes it as "long non-coding RNA (EGUI_LNC013883)". Lineage: Eukaryota; Viridiplantae; Streptophyta; Magnoliopsida; Arecales; Arecaceae. The record is from RNAcentral.